Molecule: RNA transcript, 7229 nt
Organism: Carcharodon carcharias (great white shark)
Lineage: Eukaryota; Metazoa; Chordata; Chondrichthyes; Lamniformes; Lamnidae
Gene: unc119b
Gene name: unc-119 homolog 1
Exons: 6
Source: RefSeq, a predicted model, not a curated record
UAGCUCCAGACACGAACAGAAAUUCCUUACAUAUUACAGGAAGUGCGGUGUUUAAAUGCAAACACUGGGGCUCAAGCAGAAACUGUGGUACUCCAGGGUUCUCUAAAAUUGAUGGGAGGGAUUCAUUCUUUUAAAUCCUGCAUCCAGUCGAAUCAGAUCAUGACUGGAAUGGAUUCCAAUUAGGAGUUAUCUCAAUCACUUGGCAGUUCGGCAGCGGGUUGUUAACGAGAUGCAAUGGACAACCUGCAGCUCCUUGUGUUGCCUGGAGCUGAACCCGGGGCGGCGCCUGAUUGGCUGGCGGUGACCCCCAGCGCCUCCUCUCCAUAGAUACCGAGUCCUACCGACCGGCCGCCAUUUUGAAAUCAGCCGCGGUAACCGGAGUUUGGCAGGGCGGCUGCUGGUCAGCAAAGGAGGAACCGACCGGGCGGCAGGGGCAAAGAGAACGCGCAAGGCUUCGGCUCGUUUAAGCGGUUUUUAAAGUUUGUUCGCACUCCACCUCCCUCCCCCUACCCCGUCCCCUCCCCCUCGCUGGCCGCCGUGUUUGGAUCGUCCCUGAGAAUGAGUGACUCGGACAACAGGGCGGACGGGACCGAGCUGAAGAAGGAGGGCGGCAGCGUGCUUAACAGAAUGAAGAGUAGGAGGAACCCGGAGCCCGAGGGCCUGACCCCCAUCACCGAGGCCGAGCUGCUGCAGAAAGACUGCAUCAACCCGCUCAACGUGCUGUGCCUGCAGACCGCUACCGACUCCUACUUAUGCAAGCCCGAAGACAAUAUUUACAACAUCGACUUUACCCGAUUUAAAAUUCGAGACAUGGAAACUGGGACUGUUUUGUUUGAGAUUGCCAAGCCACCAACCUCCGAGCUAGAAGAAGACAAUGAUGAUGAAAAUGGAGAGAUGGAUUCCAGUUCUGGGCGUUUUGUUCGUUAUCAGUUCACUCCUGCCUUCUUGAGACUGAGAACAGUUGGUGCAACGGUAGAAUUUACAGUUGGAGACAAGCCUGUAAGUAGCUUCAGGAUGAUUGAAAGACAUUACUUCAGGGAGCGGCUGUUGAAAAGCUUUGAUUUUGACUUUGGAUUCUGUAUUCCGAACAGCAGAAACACAUGCGAGCACAUAUAUGAAUUCCCUCAACUUUCUGAAGACGUCAAUGGUCUGUAAUACAAUUAAGACAAAGCAGGGCUUUGGGGAAAAGGCAGGGUACUGGGGCUAGUUCAAGAGAUGGUGGACAAUCCUUAUGAUACACGAUCUGACAGUUUUUACUUUGUGGACAGCAAGCUGAUCAUGCACAACAAGGCAGAUUACGCAUAUAAUGGAGGACAGUAGUGGAACACUUCGAAGCAUAUAUAUCUCAGCAGCGACACAGCCCAUUCAGCCUAAGCCUGCAUUGAUGAAGAGGGUGGCUUUUGGCUGUGAAUUAUCUUUUAUCAUUUCUAUGCAUUCUGCACAAGUGAGAAAAUUAGUUAUGCUUACUAAUGACUGAGGUGAUUGAGUGUUUGAGUUGGAAAUUCUACCCAUGUACAAUAUGCAAUGAUCACCUAUACCUGAAAUGAAUGCCUAGUUGUGAUGAAAGAUUCCUCAUAAUAAAGGGAUCUAUUUGUAUUUAUAGUAAAAUAGUCAUGCCACUGCUGUGAACAUGGCCUUGCACUAUGUUUGGGUCUUGGUGGAAGACACUAGAGUAAUUGAUUAGAAGACCAAAUCAUUCCCCAUUUAAACAAAAAUGAUUACAGGGCACCUGGUUAACCUUUCUAUUACAGUGCACAUAAAAUAUCCAUUUACCUGGUGACCACAGUGCAGUACUUCAAAUCUUCAAUGGAGCAGUAUCCAAGUCUGAACUUGAAAAUGUGCAUUGAAUGUUACAUAUUUAUCACUAGUUUAUUAAGUCAGAAAGGAUUAGAUGCAAAGAUUUUUGCAAAAUUAUUUUUUUUAAUGGAAAAUAAGUUCCUCAAGAAACAUGGUGUGUUGACUUUUACAUCUUCCAUUGUAUGUCAAUCUAAAGUUUUUAGAUAUGAUCCUUUUUUGAUCCAUGAGUCUUUUUCCAUGGCAUGAAUUGGUAGGUGUGGCUGACGAAAUGAGCGCAUCAUUUAAAGGUUAUGGCCACUAGUUUGAGAACAGUCUAGUUUUUUGUGGUUUGGGAAACUCCAUGUUGUAGAAAUUAUUGUGAAACCUUCAAAGGUUCUUGGGUUCAUUUAAUUUCUCUGUAUUCUCCAUCUGUUACUAAUCUUUGGCAAAAUGUAUAGGAUUUCCAAGUUGUGAUAUUUGAAAGUAGACAUCUCAAUCCAAGGACUGCCUUCAAAGUUCUGCAUCAGAAACUGAAUGGCAAAAGUAUUUAUUAACUACAUUUAUUUCCUUUAUAACUUGGAAAAUUAUCUUGUUUAAUCCUAUGAGAUGAUGCACCGUAGCUUAUAAGCCAGAAAAGUUGGAUCUAAGAGGUAGUCUGCCAAAAAAAUGAUCAGAAUCUAAUAAAAUUUUAUUUUGAACUAUAGCUUGAAUGUGACUGAAUACCAUAUUGUUACAUUGACAUAAAUUGAAUGUAUGUAAAUGAUUAAGAAAAAAUAUAAUCGCCUUCCUAAUAUUGCAAGUUGAAACUGAAAUAAUGCCAAAUUUCUCAGGCACCAGCAGCUUUAAAUUGUAAGAAAUAUAAAAGCUACCGUAACACACCUGGUAUAGAUUUACACACCAUUUUUGGUAUUCCCAUCUAAAUCUCCACCCCAUUUUUACUUUGAUAGUGCAAUUUCUAUAGUAUGAUCUUUGAUUACCGCUCAAUCUUUUCUGCCUUGUAGUGAAAUUCAGCCAUGAGUUCUAAACCUAUGGAUUCUUAGAACCAAUGGCAGAUUUUUUGGCACUUCCACCUGUGAUUCUGAUUUCAAAGUUCAGAGCACAAAUAUCAGAGAUGUCUGUCCCAGGCAUUUAGAUCCAUGUAGUUUCUUUGCACUGAUAUUCUGAACAUAGCAGAGACUGAUGUCUCCAUUUUAUAAUAAUAGACCAGUAAGAAACUGCUUUGGAGUAAUUUGAAUGCCUGCUGUGUUGAAGGAAUGCCAGCAUUAGUCCAGAUGUAGAGUAGCUUGCAUUUGGCCUGUGAACAUGUUUUUUUUGUAAAUUUGGGUAAUAUGUGGUCAAGGGUGGGUGCAUAGAGUAUUUGAUGAACCUUUUAUGGAGGCUAUUUGGCACUUGGUUGAUUUUUUUAAAGAAAAAUCUUUAAGCAUGUUAACAUUGUGGUACUGCUCCCAUUGUCUUCACUUCAUUUAGACUCUGAAAGAGAUUUUUGAUUUUAAAUUGGGAAAUCUUGCCACCAGGUCAUUGUUACAUUUCAUCUGUAACUUGAUUAUUCAAUGUAAAUCAUUUGCUAAUUUUUAAACAUUUUCAAAGCUAAUGAUAUUUGCUAUACUGAUUUGAAAAUCUUUCUCUGUGGGAUUGAUUGUUGGCACUAGGUAAAUUGUUAGGAAAAGUCAUUAGUCCAAGAUGUAUUAUGUAGUUUCUCUUAGUUUCAGACUGUUUGAUAUUUCCCUGCUAAUAGCAUGGUGAUAUCAUUAGUAUGCUCUCUUACCAGAAAAACAGAUCAGGAGUUCUGAUGGGCAUCAUCCCCUUCAAACAAAAUAUAAGUACGUCUUGAUCUAUUAAAUUAGGAUUGGGACUUUACUUGGAUCUUUUAGGACUCUGGGCUUCACUCUAAGUCUAUAGUACUCUUCAAAACUGUUCUUGCCCCAUUCCAACCCUCAACUUUCUCCAUCUUUUUUCUUGUCCCCCUCCUCCCAAAACUCAGGCAACCUAGCAAUAACUUUUGUAAAGGAAACCAUAAGGCAAAAGCUUGAAUGUGGAUGAUUGAAUUUGCUACUAAAAUGAGGUAAAGGGUUUUGGUGUAAACAAAGAUAUCUGGUGUAGUCUUUUUUUUUUGGUGGAUGGGCUGGUGAAAGAAAGCUUUUCACUUUUAAGAGAUGGGUAGAAUAUCCAUUGUGGUUUUCACCAGCCUGGUUCAAUUUGGGUUUCAUGACUCCUCAGAUAUUCUUGAAACUGUUUGAAUACAUCCAAAAUACAUUGAUUCAUAUGCAGGUUUGCUCAGGUCUGGCCUCCUAGCUCAAUAUAACAGUUGCAGGAAGGAGCAAGUAUUUUUACAUGUGGUGGAAACUAGGAGCUAAUUUAGAUCUGACCACAUUUCUUGAUUGGCAUAACAAAGAGGACAAAAGUUGGAGAAAAUAUAUUUGAUGUAAAUUAACAAGAACUUUAUUGCUCUGUAAACUGAUAUUCUUUUGUAGUUCUGCACCUUUUUACAUUUUAACAUACUUCUGAUUUCUAAACCACCUUUGGCAAUGAAAACUGUGGGUUUUGAAAUUAUUUUGGAGCUGUUGCCUGACAAUUCUAUAGGUCAGAUUGGUGAAUCCAUAAGCAAUUCUCAGGCUUGUAUGAUAGAUUGCUUUGUCUAAUAAGACCCAAAAUAUGUAGCAUCUGCUUUCCUCCUUAUCUCUCUUCUGCUUUAUCUCCUUUCAUUCAGCUGCUGCUAUAUUUGUUUAGAUUUUGAUGUGUUUGUGCAAAAUUGAAACCAGUGCAAUUCCGUAUACCUAAGUGCUAAUCGCCAAACUUGCAGUGGAAAUGCUGUUGACAAUGUCUGCCUUUCAUCUGGUACUUUUGGGUUUGUAUUAAUUCAUUUGAAAGUGUGUCUGAUAAACUUCCUAGAGGAGCGAGUCUUGCUCCACUUCAUUUUGGAGUCUGUUAGAGCCUUCACACCCAAUUUACCCUCCAAGUGUAGAGUUGAUGAGAAGUGGUGCUGAACUUAUGCCGCUAAACUAGAGAGUGAGAGAAACCCACAUACAGUUCCAUCACCUUGCCACUGCAAAUUUUGAUCAGUAAUUACUUUUAUCCUCGUCCUUUAUGAAAUGUAAGAUAUGCCAUUCAGCUUGAAAAUUGGUAAAAUCUGCCGAAAAGAGAAUUGGGUUGGUGCCAUUUGAUACUUAGUACUUCACCGUGAAUUAUAAAAACAUUCCUCUCUAGGCCAGCUUUUUACCUCUUAUAACUGUUAACAUUGAUUGUAUUUUAUAGUAUAUUUGAGGCCUGUGGUUGUGUAUUGUUUUUUAUAGUAAACAUAUGCCCAACAGUAUAUGCUAAGAUUGGGAUAGAAAUUUGAACAAUAUGUAGGAAAUCUCCUCAGUUACUGAUACAAUAAAAGGGGUACCUUUCUGUGCAUACUUAUUGCCUAUAGCUUAAUGGCAUUUGCGUCAUCAGCUCUUCCAGAAAGGGUAAAAAAAAUCUGAUUUGAAAGGGAUCAUGAAAGUUACAGCCAGUGAUCCCAAUACAAGAAUCCGUUCAGAGCCAUGAUGUAGGCCACACAUGAAAAAUUAUCUUGAAAGUGUAAGGAUGAUGAAUUAAAUAACAGUCAGAGUGAUGGUUGUCACAUGUGUAAUUGAGUUAGCAUAUCACAAUUCCCUUCAGUUUGCUUAGCUGAUUUUUUUCUCUCUACCCCAAGAUAGUCUUAUAUCCAUACUGCAAGCUGCCCUGGGUUGUAACUUUUUGUCUUCAACUGAACAUUGCAAAUGAAUGUAAUAAUUGAGUACUAGACACCAAUUUUGUACUGUUCUUUGCAUGGUAUUAUAGGUAAAAUGAUUUUCUCAAGACCUCAAAAAAACAGCUUACGGUUUUCUUUGCCACAGGCAAGCUGUGUAAUUAAUUUAUUAUAAGGAAAGGAUGACAGUGAGAUGGGGAUGCUUGCAAUCUACUUCGGCCCUUGAGUUUCUUAGAAAGAUCAAGAUGUCUCCUAACUCCUUCGUGAACUAACUCCUACUAGUUAAUACUGAAAGCUUGUAUAUGUUUCUAGCUCACAGCCUGAAAUUCUUGAAAAUCUCUAUUAGCAAAGAAAAUUGAGAAGCUUGCCUAUUCUGGGAAGAAGCUCUUAAGAGGAUAGGUUAGUUGGGAGGAGGAAGCAAGAACAUAAAACCCAGUUUUGCCUGUUUUCCCAGUGCUAAGAAAUUCCAUCAAAUCCAUUAGCAUCUAAGCUUUUGCUUUUCACAUAGUUCUUUUAGGUUGCAUUGUGCUUUUCUUUGACAAGUAUCUAUUGUGGAAUUAAGGACAGUCAAAUGCAGCCUUCCAUUGACAUUGGCAUGAAAAGAUGAAACUGGUUAAACAUUCAGCAGUCAUAUAGGCAAUGUGCCUGGUGCACUGACUUUGGAUGACUGACCCUUAGGAGAAUGAGUUGUCCUCCAUAUGUUGUAUUUACCACUUCUCUCCCUUUUACCAUGGGUCUGUGGUUAUGGUGAAAUAAAGAGAAGUGAAAUUCUGUCAGGUUGCCUAUUGUAAUUUCUGUUCUUGGAGCCAACAAUUGAUGACAGUCAUUUGGAUUACUUGACUACAGCAAAAAGUGUGAGAAUAGUUGUUAAAGUAUCUGUAAGCUAUACAUUCAGACUGUAUGGCCAUUGGCCUCUAAUUGAGUCAGGGUGAAAUGCAACGUACAUGAUGUGCUGCUGUUUCUCUGGAUACCAAUCUUGUCCCUAUGAAUUUCCUAUUCCUUGGCAUGCCCUAGUUGAAUUUGGAUGAGGUCUAUUACACCAAAUGGGAGGAAUUAACUUUUUCAUAAUUAACUGUUACCACAUUCUGAGAAUGGAGUACUGAUUGAUGUAGGCAAUUUACCUCUCGUUCACAAGAAUCCUCUGCCCUGAAAUGUGAGGCUUUCAAACUAUGUAUGUAUAGUUCAUUAAAAAAAUAUUCUGGUUAGGUUUCCAACAAUACUGUAUUAAAGUGAAAAUGUACAUUUGAAUAAGGCUCACGUCCUUGAAGUGCUUGCUAAUGCACACAAAAUAAAGCAGUUUGGAAAUUGGCACGGUGAUGGUGCACCAGUUCUCAUAUUUGCAUCCAAAUCUCAUUCAUGAUAUAUUCAGUGUUUCAGUUGUAUCUUGCACAGUUUUUUUUUUAAAAGUGUUUCACUGCUUCCUCAACCCUUAGUACAUUUUAUAUUAGUACCAAAUUUAAUAGAUGAGAAAUGCUUUUAGGGAUAUUUUAUGAAGGGUAAUAAAUGUUGCUGAGUAAAUCUUAUAUUUUUAAACUUGAUAAUUUGUUUAAUAUUUUCACAGGAAAUGUAAGAUGCAUAAAUUCACAAUUGUGACUUGAUGCUUUGUAAUUGCAUUAGGAUAUUGAACUGUAUUUUGUAGCACCCCAUCUUCAAUUUUUCAUGUUUAAAGUGACAGGUGGCUUGUUUGUAUAAAAUGUUAUUUUGUCACAAAAGAAUAGUAAUAAAGAUUUUUGAUUUUCAA